UCACAGUGGAGGCCUCUAGGAUUUUGGAGCA
This 31-nucleotide non-coding RNA is filed under the name Homo sapiens (human). Lineage: Eukaryota; Metazoa; Chordata; Mammalia; Primates; Hominidae. The record is from RNAcentral.